This 408-nucleotide ribosomal RNA is filed under the name uncultured Syntrophobacteraceae bacterium. RNAcentral's name for it is "bacterial SSU rRNA". It matches the Rfam family "Bacterial small subunit ribosomal RNA", at positions 359 to 759 of the family's 1533-position model. Lineage: Bacteria; Pseudomonadati; Thermodesulfobacteriota; Syntrophobacteria; Syntrophobacterales; Syntrophobacteraceae. The record is from RNAcentral.
GAAUUUUGCGCAAUGGCCGCAAGGCUGACGCAGCAACGCCGCGUGGGUGAUGAAGGCCUUCGGGUCGUAAAGCCCUGUCAGGUGGGAAGAAAGGCCUGGAGAGGAAAGGUUUCAGGUUUGACGGUACCACCAGAGGAAGCACCGGCUAACUCCGUGCCAGCAGCCGCGGUAAUACGGAGGGUGCGAGCGUUAUUCGGAAUUACUGGGCGUAAAGCGCGUGUGGGCGGGGGGACAAGUCUGAUGUGAAAGCACUGGGCUUAACCUGGGAAGCGCAUUGGAAACGGUUUUACUUGAGUACUGGCGAGGAAGGGGGAAUUCCCGGUGUAGAGGUGAAAUUCGUAGAGAUCGGGAGGAAUACCAGUGGCGUAGGCGCCCUUCUGGACGGUAACUGACGCUGAGACGCGAAAG